Long non-coding RNA from Dermacentor andersoni, 677 nucleotides. RefSeq lists it as uncharacterized. The record is from RefSeq and is a predicted model, not a curated record. NCBI's taxonomy places the organism in Eukaryota, Metazoa, Arthropoda, Arachnida, Ixodida, Ixodidae.
CGAAGAUGUCAGCUUGGUCGGUAGACGACGCUCUGGACUUCGCGCGCUGACUACCAUCUUGUCAGCCGCUACAAUUAUUGUAAAUAUCCUCAUCACCCAGAUGGCUACGAGGCCCGACAUGGACUUCGACGUGCAAACAAAGGAGCUCACUUCAAGGCAACAUCAACUGCCACCUCCAUGGAAGCAGUAACGAUCGCAAGGAGAAGUCUCCUGACCCUGGCAAGCGGACCAUCAGAGAGAAGCCACCAAUUGACGAAAGCGGCCAACGUCAAGGACUACCAUGGGAACUGCGUCAACAUCAAAUUCCCAAAUUGCCACGUGGUUGCCUUGUAUGUGGGGGCGAUCACACAACAUUGGAGGCGGAGUACAGCGGAAUGGUGCGACGUCAUGGGAGGGAUUUUGAGGACGGUUCCACGACUGGGAUUGGCUGAGACACAGUCAUCAGACACCCUAGUCUAGUCACCUAGAGAAAUGAACUAUUUUAAAGGCAGACACCUUUGAUGCAGAGUGUGUGUGCUGAUGUGUCCCGACAUGCACUCCAAAAGAUGUCUGCUCUAAUCUUAGCUCAUUAUACAAGAACGAUGUACUGUGCUCCGUGCUCCAGUCAGUAUGAGUAUCCCUUGUUUUGUAAAUAAGUUUGCAUCUCCUAUAUGUAAAUAAACGCCCCGUUCCAUUCA